AGGAUUAACGCUGGCGGCGUGCCUAACACAUGCAAGUCGAACGAGGUAGCAAUACCUAGUGGCAGACGGGUGAGUAGCGCGUGGUCAACCUACCGUUGAGUGGGGGAUAACUAGCCGAAAGGUUAGCUAAAUACCGCAUACGUCUCCGAGGGGCAUCCCUUGGCGAUAAAAGGAGCAAUCCGCUCGAUGACGGGACCGCGUCCCAUUAGCUAGUUGGUGGGGUAACGGCCUACCAAGGCGUCGAUGGGUAGCUGGUUUGAGAGAGCGACCAGCCACACUGGGACUGAGAUACGGCCCAGACUCCUACGGGAGGCAGCAGUGAGGAAUUUUCCGCAAUGGGCGAAAGCCUGACGGAGCGACGCCGCGUGUGGGAAGAAGGCCUUCGGGUCGUAAACCACUGUCGAAGGGAAGAUAAUGACGGUACCCUUGGAGGAAGCCCCGGCGUAACUACGUGCCAGCAGCCGC
This 465-nucleotide ribosomal RNA is filed under the name uncultured bacterium. RNAcentral describes it as "SSU rRNA". It matches the Rfam family "Bacterial small subunit ribosomal RNA", at positions 26 to 518 of the family's 1533-position model. The record is from RNAcentral.